RNAcentral lists this unclassified non-coding RNA (331 nucleotides) under soil metagenome. RNAcentral's name for it is "partial contains 5.8S ribosomal RNA, internal transcribed spacer 2, and large subunit ribosomal RNA". The stretch from base 1 to 120 matches the Rfam family "5.8S ribosomal RNA", at positions 35 to 154 of the family's 154-position model. The record is from RNAcentral.
GAUGAAGAACGUAGCGAAAUGCGAUAAGUAAUGUGAAUUGCAGAAUUCAGUGAAUCAUCGAAUCUUUGAACGCACAUUGCGCCCCCUGGUAUUCCGGGGGGCAUGCCUGUUCGAGCGUCAUUUCACCACUCAAGCCUCGCUUGGUAUUGGGCAACGCGGUCCGCCGCGUGCCUCAAAUCGACCGGCUGGGUCUUCUGUCCCCUAAGCGUUGUGGAAACUAUUCGCUAAAGGGUGUUCGGGAGGCUACGCCGUAAAACAACCCCAUUUCUAAGGUUGACCUCGGAUCAGGUAGGGAUACCCGCUGAACUUAAGCAUAUCAAUAAGUGGAGGA